UGUGGGAGCGGGCUUGCUCGCGAUCGAGGCGAUGCGGUGUAACAGAAACACCGAGUCGCUUGCAUCGCGUGCAAGCCCGCUCCCACA
This 87-nucleotide unclassified non-coding RNA is filed under the name Pseudomonas fragi. Lineage: Bacteria; Pseudomonadati; Pseudomonadota; Gammaproteobacteria; Pseudomonadales; Pseudomonadaceae. The record is from RNAcentral.